AGUUAUGCUACGGACCAUUUAAAAUUAAUUACGAUUUUCGAUUCAUUCAAUUAUAUUUCAUUAAAAAUACCCCUCUAGAAAAUUCUUUGGAGACGCCUAUUUAAUCGCCUAGGUGCCUAUUUUCGCAGCGAAGCAAGAGGAAAGCACCGCGCAUGUUUCUAUCGGAUCGAUACGAAUCGAUUUCCGAUAACAUUGAACAGCAGUUGGUCAGGAAACGGCUCGAAGGGCGGAUGGCGCGCCGCGAGUGAGGUUAUUCUCACUUUUGAGUGACGGGAUUGAAACAAAUUUUCGAUGGAAAUCAAAUAAUUAGAAGGAAAUUAAGCGUCAGCUAAUCCCAUCUACAAAACUAGAUAACCAAAGUUAAACAUGUCUUUGGACUUCUUCACAUAACAGAAGUGGAUAUUCCGGCGUGCCUGCCUUGUUUCAAUCCUGUAACUUAGUUAUUUAGUCACACAACGUGACUCUAUCACGUUAAUUAUGUACUAGUUAGAUUGCUAGCCACUCUGUGAUGGUUUAUCCCUAGAGUGGGCUGUUUUUGUUGGAUAAUACACCAUACCUGAUUUUACUACAACCAACAUCUUCACCCAGGACCUUGCAGUAGGACUUACUCACCACAGCAGCCAACCAGCGUUAGCGUGCCAAAAGAAUUCAUCUCUAUGGACUUGCAACCCUACUUUUAACCGGCUGUUGUGUAAAAGCUAAGUUUAUUUACUUUUUCUGUAUUUACUUUUGGGUAAGAUAUAUUUGCUACAUUGUAAACUUUUCGUAUGCAUACGAUUAGGAAGAGUACAUAUAUUUUCGUGAUAGAUAGGGUUUUAGGUUGUUGUUUUUUUUUUCUUUUUGAUUCAGUAUAAGUAGGAGUUAGUUAAAAUAAAUAAAAUCAGGUCUUGUUUAAUAAUCAUAAAUAAUUGUAACUUAAAAUUUAAUAGGGAAUCGGGUUGUAAAAUUUUGUCGCGGAUUUUAAAUAGGGAAUACGUCUCGUAGGUUUUUUUUGUAAAAUAUAUAAAGAGUCACUGACCAACUCAUUUAUAUAGACCUUUUUGCUAUUCCAACGGACUUUUGAUUUGGAUUUUGAUUUUAAUACUUUUGCUUGGCCAGUGAUAGUGGAUAAUUGCUUGUUGAGUGGCCUUUGCGGUCCUAUUUUAUCUUUUCCCCAUCCACUAUCACUGUUAUUACGUUGCGUUAUAUGUAAAGUGUUAUUAUUUAAUAUUUAUUAUUAAUAUAUUUGUAUGUAUUAA
Molecule: long non-coding RNA, 1238 nt
Filed under: Diabrotica virgifera virgifera (western corn rootworm)
Lineage: Eukaryota; Metazoa; Arthropoda; Insecta; Coleoptera; Chrysomelidae
Description: uncharacterized LOC126885970
Source: RNAcentral